Molecule: ribosomal RNA, 468 nt
Filed under: uncultured bacterium
Lineage: Bacteria
Description: partial 16S ribosomal RNA
Rfam family: Bacterial small subunit ribosomal RNA
Source: RNAcentral
GACGAACGCUGGCGGCGUGCUUAACACAUGCAAGUCGAACGGAAAGGCCCUGCUUUUGGCGGGUGCUCGAGUGGCGAACGGGUGAGUAAGACGUGAGUAACCUGCCCUUGACUUUGGGAUAACUUCAGGAAACUGGGGCUAAUACAGAAUAGGAGCUCCUGAUGCAUGGUGGGGGUUGGAAAGUUUCGGCGGUUGGGGAUGGACUCGCGGCUUAUCAGCUUGUUGGUGGGGUAGUGGCUUACCAAGGCUUGGACGGGUAGCCGGCCUGAGAGGGUGACCGGCCACAUUGGGACUGAGAUACGGCCCAGACUGCUACGGGAGGCAGCGGUGGGGAAUAUUGCACAAUGGGCGGAAGCCUGAUGCAGGACCGUCGCGUGCGGGAUCACGGCCUUCCGGUUGUAAAGGGCUUGCGCCUGGGACGAAGCGGGAGUGACGGUAACGGAUGAAGAAGCACCGGCUAACUACGUG